UACGAAGGGGGCUAGCGUUGUUCGGAAUUACUGGGCGUAAAGCGCACGUAGGCGGAUCGAUCAGUCUGGGGUGAAAUCCCAGAGCUCAACUCUGGAACUGCCUUUGAUACUGUCGAUCUAGAGUAUGGAAGAGGUGAGUGGAAUUCCGAGUGUAGAGGUGAAAUUCGUAGAUAUUCGGAGGAACACCAGUGGCGAAGGCGGCUCACUGGUCCAUUACUGACGCUGAGAUGCGAAAGCGUGGGGAGCAAACAGG
This 253-nucleotide ribosomal RNA is filed under the name uncultured bacterium. RNAcentral's name for it is "partial 16S ribosomal RNA". It matches the Rfam family "Bacterial small subunit ribosomal RNA", at positions 524 to 776 of the family's 1533-position model. The record is from RNAcentral.